RNAcentral lists this ribosomal RNA (1161 nucleotides) under Morchella sp. PDD 89082. RNAcentral describes it as "eukaryotic LSU rRNA". The stretch from base 599 to 752 matches the Rfam family "5.8S ribosomal RNA". The record is from RNAcentral. Lineage: Eukaryota; Fungi; Ascomycota; Pezizomycetes; Pezizales; Morchellaceae.
CAUUACCAGAAUUCCAAACCAAAAGUCAGUGGAGAGAGAGGCGGUCAUAACGGUGGAAGACGUCGUCACAUUGGCGGGUUCCAUAACCGGCACAAGAUGUUGGAAGGGCCCAGGGCGGGCCGGCCGGGUCAACCUCAUCCGUGUAAUCCUGCUGCCCACUGCGCUCCCUCCCUACGCUUUAGGGCAGCAACCCCCCGCAUUGGGGGGUGGAGGCCGGAUCUAUGCAAUCAAUGCUUCGCAUCCAUCCACACAGUUGGGUGCCGGUGCGGAGUAGACUAUUGCGGCUAAAGGAGGUUCACCCGGAUGGUGGCUGACUGCGCAUGCAGGACCAUCAUGGAUGGAUCCAACCAUGCGUUCCUUCCCCUGGGGCCUGAGGGGUGUAAAAACCCCUCAGCGACCUGCUCCGACGGCGUGAAGAGGACCCCCACCGUUUGGCACCCUCUCGCCAUUGUCCCAACCAAAACCCUCUGUGUACCCUUCCCUGUUGCUUCCCCCGGGCAACUGGCUCCGGCCAGCCGGGGGGAGAAACCUAGCAAAAACCCUUUUCGCAAAACAGACGUCUGAAUGUAGAAAACAAACAAAAAAAAAAAUAAGUUAAAACUUUCAACAACGGAUCUCUUGGUUCCCACAUCGAUGAAGAACGCAGCGAAAUGCGAUAAGUAAUGCGAAUUGCAGAAUUCAGUGAAUCAUCGAAUCUUUGAACGCACAUUGCGCCCUCUGGUAUUCCGGAGGGCAUGCCUGUUCGAGCGUCAUAAAUACCGCUCCCCCUCGGAUUGCUUGCGGUCCCUGGGGGGUUCUGGCAAUGUGGAUUCCCCGUGCUUUGAGGGCAUGCGAACGGGCUCCCAGUGCUGAAAGACAUAAUGUUCCCAGCCGAAACCGGCGAUUAAUUUCAUCGGCAGGAUUCGUGGCAGGCAGACUGAGGGCGUCAACCGUGGAGUCAUGAGGAUAGAAACCUCCCCCUUUGCAAGUAACAUUGCUCUGGCAGUUAGAUCUGCAGGCCUGCCGGUCUGGGGAUGGGCCUCCCACUCGCAGGCGUCACGGCCACGAUAGCGGGCGUUAAACGGAAUCCGAUCCGCCCCUCCCUGGGUGGUUGAAGAUCCUUGUGGGCUAGCAACCCCUAAACACAUUUUGACCUCGGAUCAGGUAGGGAUACCCGCUGAA